RNAcentral lists this long non-coding RNA (2510 nucleotides) under Homo sapiens (human). RNAcentral describes it as "HSALNT0355994". Lineage: Eukaryota; Metazoa; Chordata; Mammalia; Primates; Hominidae. The record is from RNAcentral.
GUUGACAGUAAUAUUGUCAGUUCAAAUUUGAUGCUACACAUAUUUAUUCACCUCCUUUUACUUUAAUCUGUAAUCUUUUUAUAUUAACAUAACUGUUUCAUAUUAUCUGAUGUUUUUCUAUCUUUGUCAUCUGCAGGUGGAAUGUCAUCCUUACCUCAACCAGAGCAAACUGCUGGAUUUCUGCAAGUCAAAAGACAUUGUUCUGGUUGCCCACAGUGCUCUGGGAACCCAACGACAUGAACUAUGGGUGGACCAGAACUCACCAGUUCUUUUGGAGGACCCAGUUAUUUGUGUCAUGGCAAAAAUGCACAAGUGAUCCCCAGCCCUGAUUGCUCUGUGCUACCAGCUGCAGCGUGGGGCUGUGGUCCUGGUCAAGAGCUCCAAUGAACAGCAGAUCAGAGAGAACAUGCAGGUUGGUUUCUUGAAUGGGAUUGUUCCGUGUUUUAAGGGUUGCUCAGUCUAAGGCUGGAUCAAGUUCCCGGGGAAGUGGGGAAACAAGAGCCUGACCAAGUGUGGUCAAGUCCAGGUGGCAGGUUUUUGACUUUGAGUUGACUCCAGAGGACAUGAAAGCCAUUGACAGCCUCAACGGAAAUCUCCGACAUGCUAAGUUACAAUUUUAAGUGAUGCAGAUUCUUUCACAGACCAUUUUCUGCAGGAUGCACAAAAACAGAGGGACACAUCUUUCCUACAUCAGGAAGACAGGCCUGAAUUCAGGCAUGGGGUGAAACAGGAGAUUCACUGUAGCCCUCAGACCAUAGGUUUCCUCCACGGCUCAAUUUCUGACCCAACAGGAAUGUUGGUCUGUAAGUAACACUGCCUAUGUCUGCACCAUUGUGAAUCACUUUUUUUGAUGCCCUCACUACCUGUGCCUGGGUCCUACGCUUUGGACGCUCUUACCCAUUAGACUAGAAGGCACAGGGCUGUCUUAAUUUAUGCUAAAAAAAGAAAAAUUAAUAUGAUAACAAAUAUGUAAUAAUGACUCAAACCUGGUCCCUCUUUGUGUCUCCACCGAGGCAACGUAAGACAUAAUUUUAAUAUUUUUAUGGAGAUGGGCCCAGGUAGGUAAAUGUGCGUAGGUCCUAGGGAAGUCACAGUGGGCCCUGCUUCCAUGUCCUCCCGUAAGAGUCCAGUGGCAUUUCUCCUUAAUGUGGCAUUACCUUUUCAGGACACCAUUUAUAUCUCCCAAAUUUAUGUCUUCCUUGGCUUUCUUCGCCUGUCACAACUCUCAUUUUCUCAGCUCUAUAAAUCUCACCAACCUGAAUGAUAAAUGAAUUAUGAAAUUAAUAGACCCUCAGUGCUAGUGACUGAGGUGUCCCCUAUGGCCUCUACCAAGAUAAGAUCCUCUGGAGUUUCUCUGGAUCCUCAGGGCAAGACUCUUACUCCAGUGUCAUCUUUGUCCAUCUGAAGCCCAUCUCUGGGGAACCCAACAUCCCUUAACUUUGGUUUGUUCACAAACAUGACGUUCCAUUGGAUUAACUGUGGCAGGAUCUCAGGAUUGAGGAGAAAGAAGAGGAAUCAAACACAAAGAAGUUUGGAGGGGAGUGUAGAAAUAGGGAAAAAAUGAAAUUUUUUAUGUGUGUUUGCACCCGACAGAGAUUUUAUAUGCAAAAAUCAAAAAAAGAAAAGCCUCUAUGUCGUUUUAUGCUUCACUUAAAAAAAAACCUGGAUUGUUGUAGAGCAUAUUAACUUAAAAUUCUAUUUAUAAUCCCUUGAUUCAUUAUAUUACUUAUACAUUACAUAUAUAAUAUCAUAAUUAGCAUGGCUUGGAAAUAUAUGCUCAUUUUGCUGCUUAGCAAUGUAAUAGCAUCAUAUUUUCCACUUCUACACUCCAAACUGGUAGAAUAAUUACCAAAAACUAAAAUAAAAUAAAAAUAUGACUAUUUCAGAAAUAGGGAAAAAAUUUUAAUUAUGAGAAUAGAGAUUCAGUCCCCCCCAAAAAUAUGUGAACAGUCUCUCUUCUUUUUGUGAAACCAUACCAGGAUUCUGAGAGAAGACAUUUUUGAACGAACAAAAAUGUGGGAAGUGACUUUUACAUACUGAAAGGCUUUAAGUAGAAAUCUGUGGCCUCCCUCAUGAGAGUGUUUAGACUUGUCUUACUCAUCUCUGUGACCCUAUUCAAUAUCACAGCUCCUGGCACACUAACUACUGAAAAGGUACUCAUUAUUCACAUUCAGUUGGAAAGGACAAAUUAUAAAAAUGAAAAAAAAGAACACGGGAAAAGGAAAACAAAUAAUACUACUAUUACUGAAUAACAAGAAUUCCUACAAGUAAUCAAACAGUAAUCACUUUUUGCUGAGACCAGCUUGAUCGUGGAGACCCUAACCAGUGGCACUAGAGGAAUUAAAGACACACACACAGAAAUAUAGAGUGUGGAGUGGUAAUCAGGGGGCUGACAGCCUUCAGAGCUGAGAGCCACAGAGUCUUACCCACAUAUUUAUCGACAGUAAGCCAGUGAUAAGCAUUGUUUCUAUAGAUUAUAGAUUAACUAAAAUGGGAAACAAAGGGAUGGG